This is a long non-coding RNA of Mauremys mutica (yellowpond turtle), 1787 nucleotides long. RefSeq lists it as uncharacterized. NCBI's taxonomy places the organism in Eukaryota, Metazoa, Chordata, Testudines, Geoemydidae. The record is from RefSeq and is a predicted model, not a curated record. The transcript has 3 exons.
UCAGCCCUCUAGGCGGGAGCCGUACACACUUGCCACGCACGUAGGCAGGAGCAGAGGAGAGCCGAGCUCGCGUAGGGCCUACAGGCCCAGGCGGAGACCCAGGCUGUGGAGGCCCCCAGGGGGGUGGCAGGGGCCUCAAGGCCAUGUCUGGUUGGUGCUGCCUGGGGCAGUGUGAGGCAGGGUUGCCACCCCAAGUGACCCCUUGCCUUCUGCCAGCAGAGCAGUACCCCAGCCUUCGGCCAACAGGCACUUGGACAUCUCUCCUACAAGGGGCAGUGUCUCUGAGCCUAGGCUACAGGUUCCCCCAUCUUCACCUCCCCAGUUACUGAAAUCCUAGUGCUCCCUCCUGCCCCUAGUUCCUCACACCCUCUCAACUUUUCCCUGCCCGUGCCUGUCCCUUUCCCCUGAAGCAGGUUCUGAAUGGAGGCAGACUGUCCUGCUCAGAUUGUUGCAAAGCCUGGCAGCAGGAGGUUGAUAGAUGGCUAAUCUUCCCCUGUUUGUGCCUGUAUUGUCAAGAAAGGCUCAAGGAGGGAAAGGGGAAGGACAGACCCCCUCACAGCAGCCCCAGGGGACAGGCCAUCAGAAAUUAUUUAAAAUCCCAUGCCAGUCUGCUAACAUAGCACAGCAGGGAUAGCCAGCACAACCCCUACUUACUACAGCUCCCAGGAAGCACUGCAGCAUUAAUUGCUCCAUGACAUGUCAAGUGGCAGCUCAUUUUGGACGUGCAUAAAAUACAAGGAAAAUAAAGUGCCCCACCCCACAAUGCCCCCUUAUUAAGAGCCAUAGAAUGGCCUGAACAUAAGGGGUGCUUUGCUGGAUUUUGAACCACAAGGCAGUUUGAGAGCCUUAACUCCAAAUCACUCAUUAACUUGUGCAAUGUAAAGAGAAAAUGAUUUGCCUUCACCAGGAGAAGAAAUACAUGUGAUUGUGACAUAAUUCUUAAAGAGGAAGUUACUCACCUUGUGCAGUAACAAUGGUUCUUCAAGCUGUCUCUCCCUAUGGGUGCUCCACUAUAGCUGCGCUUGCAUCCCUAUGCUGCUGCUCAGAGAACUUUUGUAGCAGUAUCCCUUUGGCCCACACUUGUGCUGUCCGCAGCUAACCAGUGCUGUGCAGGCAAACCCGCCUCAGUUUCUUCUCUACUAGAGUCCUUGACAAGAACUCCAAAGCAGAGGGAAGGAGGGAGGGUCAUGGAGCACCCAUACAGAUAUACAUCUCAAAGAAUCAUCGUUACUGCACCAGGUCUUUUGAUAAUAGAGGGAACCAGAGAAAGGUGUAUACAAGGUCCUUGACCCAUAGAAAGAGAGCAUCCCCUAAGGAAUGCUGCCCGAGGCCUGUUCUGGAGCAGUAGCAUGGACAAUUCUUGGUCAGAUUUUAAGGCCAGAAGAGACCAUGAGAUUCAUCUAGUCUGACUUCCAGAUAACCUCAUCAGUGAUUCCUACAUCAAGCCCAUAACUUCUGGUUGAGCUACAGCAGAUCUUUUAGAAAGCCCUCCCAUUCUGAGAUAGAGUCUGCAAAUGAUGGAGAAUCCACCAUGGUCCUAGAUAAGCUAUUCCAAUGGUUAAUCACACUCACUGUUAAUAUAUACCUUAUUUGUAAUCUGAAAUUGUCUAGCUUCAGCAUCCAACCAUUAGAGCUCAUUAUGCAUUUGUCUGCUAGAUUAGAGUUGUCUGUUAUUAAAAAUCUUCUCCCUGUGUAAGUAUUUAGAGACUGAAAGUCAACCCUUAAGCUUCCCUUGGAUAAAUUAAAUACAUUCUAUUUAAGGUACUUCUCUGGCUCCAUUAUCACAA